RNAcentral lists this ribosomal RNA (730 nucleotides) under uncultured bacterium. RNAcentral's name for it is "bacterial SSU rRNA". It matches the Rfam family "Bacterial small subunit ribosomal RNA", at positions 771 to 1501 of the family's 1533-position model. The record is from RNAcentral.
AACAGGAUUAGAUACCCUGGUAGUCCACGCCGUAAACGAUGUCGACUUGGAGGUUGUGCCCUUGAGGCGUGGCUUCCGGAGCUAACGCGUUAAGUCGACCGCCUGGGGAGUACGGCCGCAAGGCUAAAACUCAAAUGAAUUGACGGGGGCCCGCACAAGCGGUGGAGCAUGUGGUUUAAUUCGAUGCAACGCGAAGAACCUUACCUACUCUUGACAUCCAGAGAACUUAGCAGAGAUGCUUUGGUGCCUUCGGGAACUCUGAGACAGGCGCUGCAUGGCCGUCGUCAGCUCGUGUUGUGAAAUGUUGGGUUAAGUCCCGCAACGAGCGCAACCCUUAUCCUUUGUUGCCAGCGGCUCGGCCGGGAACUCAAAGGAGACUGCCAGUGAUAAACUGGAGGAAGGUGGGGAUGACGUCAAGUCAUCAUGGCCCUUACGAGUAGGGCUACACACGUGCUACAAUGGCAUAUACAAAGAGAAGCGACCUCGCGAGAGCAAGCGGACCUCAUAAAGUAUGUCGUAGUCCGGAUUGGAGUCUGCAACUCGACUCCAUGAAGUCGGAAUCGCUAGUAAUCGUGGAUCAGAGUGCCACGGUGAAUACGUUCCCGGGCCUUGUACACACCGCCCGUCACACCAUGGGAGUGGGUUGCAAAAGAAGUAGGUAGCUUAACCUUCGGGAGGGCGCUUACCACUUUGUGAUUCAUGACUGGGGUGAAGUCGUAACAAGGUAACC